CCUACGGGAGGCAGCAGUAGGGAAUAUUCCACAAUGGGCGAAAGCCUGAUGCAGCAACGCCGCGUGGGUGAAGAAGGUCUUCUGAUCGUAAAACCCUGUUUUUAGAGAAGAAAGUGCGUGAGCGUAACUGUUCACGUUUCGACGGUAUCUAACCAGAAAGCCACGGCUAACUACGUGCCAGCACCCGCGGUAAUACGUAGGUGGCAAGCGUUAUCCGGAUUGAUUGGGCGUAAAGGGAACGCAGGCGGUCUUUUAAGUCUGAUGUGAAAGCCUUAGGCUUAACCGGAGUAGUGCAUUGGAAACUGGGAGACUUGAGUGCAGAAGAGGAGAGUGGAA
This 336-nucleotide ribosomal RNA is filed under the name uncultured bacterium. RNAcentral's name for it is "partial 16S ribosomal RNA". It matches the Rfam family "Bacterial small subunit ribosomal RNA", at positions 338 to 666 of the family's 1533-position model. The record is from RNAcentral.